AACUGAUGGAUAUUUUCAUAAGGAAUAUUACAGCCCCCAAGACCAUUAUAACUGAAUGAGGACCAAUAAGAGGGUCAAUUUGAAAACACCCAUUUCUUUACACUUUUAUAAACAAAACCAUCAAUGUGUAAAUAAGAUUUUGUGUGUGGAGAAGAAAUAUAUUUAUAUAAUUAUUACAAAUGCAAUUCUAUUAAAUAAUUGAUGCCCCCGCUUGCGUUUUGUAUAAAAUUAUAGAAGGACUUAAGUGAAGAAACGUAUAAGUGACUCUACUCAAAUUUGUACUUGUGAAUUUUUGUGGUAAUUAAUGAACAUUGGGCCACAAUUAAAAAUAUUUUGGUUUGCCCAAACCCUACCCAAAGGUUGAGACAGUGGGUAGGUAGGUAGGCAUUUUCUUUUUUUUUUUCAAAAAGAGAAAUUGAAGUAUCAGAUGUUUAUUAGUCUUCAUGCCUAUCUGAUUAAAAAAAAACUUCUUCAAAUCAGGACAAUAAAAGAAUUUGAGUAGGCAGCUUUUUUCUGGGUAGGUAGCGUUUGGGCAAACAAACCUAUUCUUUUUUAUGGCCUUGUGUAUAAGAAUCAUAACAUUUCGUUGAGGCAAACUAAAGUAAGAGAACAUAAA
RNAcentral lists this long non-coding RNA (616 nucleotides) under Mytilus galloprovincialis (Mediterranean mussel). Lineage: Eukaryota; Metazoa; Mollusca; Bivalvia; Mytilida; Mytilidae. The record is from RNAcentral.